This 371-nucleotide ribosomal RNA is filed under the name uncultured organism. RNAcentral describes it as "bacterial SSU rRNA". It matches the Rfam family "Bacterial small subunit ribosomal RNA", at positions 526 to 896 of the family's 1533-position model. The record is from RNAcentral.
CAGAGGGUGCAAGCGUUAAUCGGAAUUACUGGGCGUAAAGCGUGCGUAGUCGGUUAUCUAAGUCGGGUGUGAAAUCCCCGGGCUCAACCUGGGAAUUGCAUUCGAUACUGGAUAGCUAGAGUUCGGCAGAGGGAAGCGGAAUUUCGGGUGUAGCGGUGAAAUGCGUAGAUAUCCGAAGGAACAUCAGUGGCGAAAGCGGCUUCCUGGACCAGAACUGACGAUCAGGCGCGAAAGCGUGGGGAGCAAACAGGAUUAGAUACCCUGGUAGUCCACGCCAUAAACGAUGACAACUAGACGUUGGGAGGGUAAGCCUCACAGUGUCGCAGCUAACGCGUUAAGUUGUCCGCCUGGGGAGUACGGCCGCAAGGUUG